Molecule: non-coding RNA, 338 nt
Organism: Odocoileus virginianus texanus
Lineage: Eukaryota; Metazoa; Chordata; Mammalia; Artiodactyla; Cervidae
Source: RefSeq, a predicted model, not a curated record
CUUCCUUUCCACCAAGCCACAACUCUUCCUUUGGAACCUCUGAAUUCAAAGGAUGCUUCACAGACUGCUGCAAAUCUCACUAUAGGAAAGCAAUCGGCACAGCCGCGUGAUUGUCACAAAAUUUGAAGAAUCACAUCAACUUCUUGAUAAGUCUAGACAAUCUAACAUUUGCAGCUGUAAUGGCCUUUGAGUCCCUGGGAUAAAGGCCUCAGCCAAAGCCAGGAGUUGCCUAUAAAGUUCUCCUUGACAGAAACUGGGAUGGAAUCCAGGCUCAUUUCAGCAAUAUUUGUGGAGAAGAGGAUUGAACUCAAUAUAUUUGACCCAAAAGUGCAUUUUUG